This is a long non-coding RNA of Quercus robur (English oak), 831 nucleotides long. RefSeq lists it as uncharacterized. The transcript is spliced from 2 exons. Lineage: Eukaryota; Viridiplantae; Streptophyta; Magnoliopsida; Fagales; Fagaceae. The record is from RefSeq and is a predicted model, not a curated record.
CUCUACUUUUCACGCUACUCUCUGUUUUAGGUUCUUUUCUAAGGUUUCUUCUUCUCUCUCAGUUUCUAAACGCAUCUUCUCUGCAGCUUCUUCUCUCUCGCAGUCUCUCAACUUCUUCUCUUCCAAACCAACCACAAGAACCUAGAGCCACGACUGCUAAACAAAAGCCUUAGCGAGACCCCAAGAAAAGAAAAGAAACAGACCUGCUUCAGGGUAUUUCUCCAUUCUAGCCGCAUAACUGAAGAAACAUAGUGCUUCAAUUCCAGCCGCCUAACAGAGUAUUUAUCUGCCCGGGUGAUGGUGUUAGCCUAGAGUAUUGAGUCUAUCAAAAAGGGAAAGAAAGUUCCAAGCUUCACUAGUAAAAGGGCUGGGAGGUCUGAACACACAAGGCAUUCUUGUUGGUCUGAACAAAGUAAUAUUUUGAGGGAAAUUCUUAGCUAGUCCAGGACUACAGGUCAUCUUGCUGAGCUUGUAGUCUGGACCAAUUAAAAUGAGACACCUAAGAGAAAGUGCUGAUAUCAUUUAACAGGAUACCAAGUCAGCAAUAGAGUUAAUGGUGUUUAGUGUGUUGCUAUUCUGUUAGAUUUGAAUUCAAAUCUCAACCCUUCAGUUCCCCUUCAAGUACCUGAUAUUGAGACGUUUGUGAAAAUCCCACUUGUUGUCAAAGUCCAUACUUUUCUUCCAAAUACUUCAAUUUAUCAUGUUGAUAUUGCUUCUUCAUAUGUUAAAACUGGAGAGAGGCAUUAUCUUAGUUGCUUCUGGUGCCACUGCAAAUUGAGCAUAACUUUAUAUAUUUCUUAAAGCAUUUGGUUGGUUUGAAUUGCAAUUACA